GAUGAACGCUGGCGGCGUGCCUAAUACAUGCGAGUCGAGCGAACAGACGAGGAGCUUGCUCCUCUGACGUUAGCGGCGGACGGGUGAGUAACACGUGGAUAACCUACCUAUAAGACUGGGAUAACUUCGGGAAACCGGAGCUAAUACCGGAUAAUAUGUUGAAUCGCAUGGUUCAACAGUGAAAGACGGUCUUGCUGUCACUUAUAGAUGGAUCCGCGCCGCAUUAGCUAGUUGGUAAGGUAACGGCUUACCAAGGCAACGAUGCGUAGCCGACCUGAGAGGGUGAUCGGCCACACUGGAACUGAGACACGGUCCAGACUCCUACGGGAGGCAGCAGUAGGGAAUCUUCCGCAAUGGGCGAAAGCCUGACGGAGCAACGCCGCGUGAGUGAAGAAGGUCUUCGGAUCGUAAAACUCUGUUAUUAGGGAAGAACAAAUGUGUAAGUAACUAUGCACGUCUUGACGGUACCUAAUCAGAAAGCCACGGCUAACUACGUG
This 497-nucleotide ribosomal RNA is filed under the name uncultured bacterium. RNAcentral describes it as "partial 16S ribosomal RNA". It matches the Rfam family "Bacterial small subunit ribosomal RNA", at positions 28 to 507 of the family's 1533-position model. The record is from RNAcentral.